Non-coding RNA from Tachyglossus aculeatus (Australian echidna), 430 nucleotides. Lineage: Eukaryota; Metazoa; Chordata; Mammalia; Monotremata; Tachyglossidae. The record is from the annotation of a RefSeq genome assembly.
AACACAAGCCAUCGAGAUGGCAUCUCCAGCUCAACUCCUCUGGCUCGUGAUGCUUUGGAUCUCGGACUCCAGUGGAGACAUCGUGUUGACCCAGACUCCAGACUCCCUGACUGUGUCCCCAGGAGAGAAAGUCACAAUCCAGUGCAGAGUCAGUCAGAGUGUUACCACUGAAAGAUUACACUGGUACCAACAGAAACCAGGACAGGGUCCUAAACUCCUGAUCUACGGCACAUCCAAACUCGUCUCGGGUGUCCCGGCGAGAUUCAGCGGCAGCGGGUCUGGGACUGAUUAUACUCUGACCAUUAGUGGUGUGGAACCCGCUGAUAUUGCUGACUAUUACUGUCAGCAGUAUUAUAGCCUCCCUUCCACACAGUGCUGCAGCUCUGUACAAAAACCUCUCUUGGCUAUUCAGUCAUUUCAGCUCAAAUGA